AAAGAGACCUUUAGUUUGAAACCCCGAAACCAGGUGAGCUACCCCGAGACAGCCUAAAUAACUUAGGGCUAACCCGUCUCUGUGGCAAAAGAGUGGGAAGAGCUCCGGGUAGAAGUGACAGACCUACCGAACCUGGUGAUAGCUGGUUGCCUGAGAAAUGGAUAGAAGUUCAGCCCCGCAUACCCCAUACCAAAAACAUCAUUAUAAGGUUUAGGGAAAUUUAUGGGAGUUAGUUAAAGGGGGUACAGCCCCUCUAACAAAGGAUACAACCUUUACAGGAGGAUAAGGAUCACAAUAUUUAAAACACACUGUUCUAGUGGGCCUAAAAGCAGCCACCUAAACAGAAAGCGUUAAAGCUCAGACAGAAAGAAGUUUAUUAUACUGAUAAAAAAUCUUAUUCCCCUAAUAUUAUCAGGCUAUCCCAUGCCCGCAUGGAAGAAAUUAUGCUAAAAUGAGUAACAAGAAGACCUGAUCUUCUCCAAGCACAAGUGUAUACCAGAUCGGACCAACCACUGGAAAUUAACGAACCCAAACAAAGAGAGUACUGUGAAUUAUAUAAAAACCAGGAAAAUCCCACAACUAAAUAAUCGUUAACCCCACACUGGAGUGCUAUAAAUUAAGGAAAGACUAAAAGAAGAGGAAGGAACUCGGCAAACAUAAGCCUCGCCUGUUUACCAAAAACAUCGCCUCCUGCAAAAGAACUAAGUAUAGGAGGUCCAGCCUGCCCAGUG
RNAcentral lists this ribosomal RNA (731 nucleotides) under Gnathopogon caerulescens x Gnathopogon elongatus. Its description in RNAcentral is "partial 16S ribosomal RNA". It matches the Rfam family "Bacterial large subunit ribosomal RNA", at positions 686 to 1868 of the family's 2925-position model. The record is from RNAcentral. Lineage: Eukaryota; Metazoa; Chordata; Actinopteri; Cypriniformes; Gobionidae.